RNAcentral lists this ribosomal RNA (504 nucleotides) under uncultured bacterium. RNAcentral describes it as "partial 16S ribosomal RNA". It matches the Rfam family "Bacterial small subunit ribosomal RNA", at positions 28 to 523 of the family's 1533-position model. The record is from RNAcentral.
GAUAAACGCUAGCGGCAGGCUUAACACAUGCAAGUCGAGGGGCAGCAUAGAUUGUAGCAAUACAAUUGGUGGCGACCGGCGCACGGGUGCGUAACGCGUAUGCAACCUACCCGUCACAGGGGGAUAAUCCGGAGAAAUCUGGUCUAAUACCCCAUAACAUAUGGAUCGGCAUCGGUUCAUGUUGAAAUUUUCGGAGGUGACGGAUGGGCAUGCGUAGCAUUAGCUUGUUGGUGAGGUGACGGCUCACCAAGGCGACGAUGCUUAGGGGGACUGAGAGGUUUUCCCCCCACACUGGUACUGAGACACGGACCAGACUCCUACGGGAGGCAGCAGUGAGGAAUAUUGGUCAAUGGGCGCAAGCCUGAUCCAGCCAUGCCGCGUGCAGGAUGACGGCUCUAUGAGUUGUAAACUGCUUUUGUACGAGGGUAAAGUGGGUUACGUGUAACCUUUUGAAAGUAUCGUACGAAUAAGGAUCGGCUAACUCCGUGCCAGCAGCCGCCGUAA